AUACGUAGGCGACAAGCGUUAUCCGGAUUUACUGGGCGUAAAGGGCGUGUAGGCGGUCUUACAAGUCAGAUGUGAAAUUCCCGGGCUCAACUUGGGCGCUGCAUCUGAAACUGCAAGACUUGAGUGCUGGAGGGGAUAGCGGAAUUCCUAUUGGCGCGGUAAAAGGCGCAGAGAUUAGGAAGAACACCGGUGGCGAAGGCGGCUAUCUGGACAGUAACUGACGCUGAGGCGCGAAAGCGUGGGGAGAAAACAGGAUUAGAUCCCCGGGUAGUCCACGCCGUAAACGAUGAAUACUAGGUGUAGGGGGUAUCGACUCCCUCUGUGCCGCAGUUAACACAAUAAGUAUUCCGCCUGGGGAGUACGGCCGCAAGGUUGAAACUCAAAGGAAUUGACGGGG
This 397-nucleotide ribosomal RNA is filed under the name uncultured bacterium. Its description in RNAcentral is "partial 16S ribosomal RNA". It matches the Rfam family "Bacterial small subunit ribosomal RNA", at positions 523 to 918 of the family's 1533-position model. The record is from RNAcentral.